This 79-nucleotide transfer RNA is filed under the name Sphingomonas yantingensis. RNAcentral's name for it is "tRNA-Ala". Lineage: Bacteria; Pseudomonadati; Pseudomonadota; Alphaproteobacteria; Sphingomonadales; Sphingomonadaceae. The record is from RNAcentral.
GCGCGCGGGUGAAUGCUCGGUGCCGAACACGCCGGGCUGGCGACCCGGUGCGCGCUGGGCACGGUCCGAAUCGCGCGCG